GUGGCCGUAGCUCAAUGGCAGAGCCCCGGAUUGUGAUUCCGGUUGUUGCGGGUUCGAGUCCCGUCGGCCACC
This 72-nucleotide transfer RNA is filed under the name bacterium. RNAcentral's name for it is "tRNA-His". It matches the Rfam family "tRNA". From Rfam's summary of the family: Transfer RNA (tRNA) molecules are approximately 80 nucleotides in length. RNAcentral also lists the same sequence under 1 other name. The record is from RNAcentral.